Molecule: small nuclear RNA, 131 nt
Filed under: Jaculus jaculus (lesser Egyptian jerboa)
Lineage: Eukaryota; Metazoa; Chordata; Mammalia; Rodentia; Dipodidae
Description: U1 spliceosomal RNA (ENSJJAG00000004767.1)
Rfam family: U1 spliceosomal RNA
About the family: U1 is a small nuclear RNA (snRNA) component of the spliceosome (involved in pre-mRNA splicing). Its 5' end forms complementary base pairs with the 5' splice junction, thus defining the 5' donor site of an intron.
Source: RNAcentral
AAAGAAAGAAAGUGGUUUUCCCUGGGUAAGGCUUGUCCAUUGCACUCCAACUAUGCUGUCCCCUGCUUUUGCCCAAAAUGUGGGAAAGAACUGCAUAAUUUGUGGAAAUGGAAAAUUGCAUUCAUUUUCUU